RNAcentral lists this transfer-messenger RNA (363 nucleotides) under Salmonella enterica. Its description in RNAcentral is "Standard tmRNA". It matches the Rfam family "transfer-messenger RNA". From Rfam's summary of the family: Bacterial tmRNA, also known as 10Sa RNA or SsrA, is named for its dual tRNA and mRNA-like properties. Its role is to liberate the mRNA from a stalled ribosome. To accomplish this part of the tmRNA is used as a reading frame that ends in a translation stop signal. The record is from RNAcentral. RNAcentral also lists the same sequence under 1 other name. Lineage: Bacteria; Pseudomonadati; Pseudomonadota; Gammaproteobacteria; Enterobacterales; Enterobacteriaceae.
GGGGCUGAUUCUGGAUUCGACGGGAUUUGCGAAACCCAAGGUGCAUGCCGAGGGGCGGUUGGCCUCGUAAAAAGCCGCAAAAAAAUAGUCGCAAACGACGAAACCUACGCUUUAGCAGCUUAAUAACCUGCUUAGAGCCCUCUCUCCCUAGCCUCCGCUCUUAGGACGGGGAUCAAGAGAGGUCAAACCCAAAAGAGAUCGCGCGGAUGCCCUGCCUGGGGUUGAAGCGUUAAAACGAAUCAGGCUAGUCUGGUAGUGGCGUGUCCGUCCGCAGGAGCCAGGCGAAUGUAAAGACUGACUAAGCAUGUAGUACCGAGGAUGUAGGAAUUUCGGACGCGGGUUCAACUCCCGCCAGCUCCACCA